Molecule: long non-coding RNA, 230 nt
Filed under: Lathyrus oleraceus (garden pea)
Lineage: Eukaryota; Viridiplantae; Streptophyta; Magnoliopsida; Fabales; Fabaceae
Description: Pisum sativum (pea) long non-coding RNA (PSAT_LNC003830)
Source: RNAcentral
AUCAAUUAGAAACCUUGUAGAGUCGAGUGGACCCAUAGGAUAUGAGAACUCAUUGAGAUUAUUAUCUCAUCCCAAUAUUAUUUCUUUUUUUUCCCAGGUUAUAUGCAAGAAGAUUGAUCAGUUGAUGUUUCAAAGGAUUCUGACUGUUGUGAUCUUCCGUUGUGGAUUAUGUGCAAUCGAAGAUAUUGUACACUACUCUUAGUUUUUAUUUAGCCGAUAUUGUAUAACAU